This 1422-nucleotide long non-coding RNA is filed under the name Homo sapiens (human). RNAcentral describes it as "non-protein coding lnc-RPL24-2:1". Lineage: Eukaryota; Metazoa; Chordata; Mammalia; Primates; Hominidae. The record is from RNAcentral.
CUUUGUCCUUAUCUACCCAGCCACAGCUUCCAGUGCAAGUGUCCUUGUGCCCUGGUGCCUGAUAUCCAGCUCCGGCAGCCUAGAAAAUCAGUUAGGCUUUUCAGUCACAGCACCCUCUGUGACAAACGUGUGGAGCACCGCACGACUUCUUCAACCAGCUGGUUUUUCUGGCAUUCGAAUAAAAGUAAAAAUAGAAAACAAAGAGGGAGAAGAAAAGUGACAAGCUGAAACCUGCGAAGAGAAAGAGGACAAGAAAUGAACAAGUUGAUCUGGUCUUGAGGGAGGAGGAGGCACAGGAACACAGUAAAGGAACCUAUCUGAGGAGCUGCAGACAUGAACCAACAAAGGUCAAACCCCACCUGGAAAAUGAAUUGUGUCCAAAUGAGACCCCUUUAAUGACAGGAUUUGAAACAAUCUCAUUAUGAAACAAUUGCAGUCAAUGGGAAUCCUGAGUCUUCAAGGAAGUAAAAAGAAAAAAAAAUCUCUGUUAUCCUCACAUAUUUAAAGAUUCUCAUAUAAAAGCUUCUCCGAAGAGAACAGCUUGUCCUGUUUAGCUUCAAAGAAGAGAAUGAGGAGGAAGGUCGAGGGAAAAUUACAGAAAAGCAGACUUUGACUUGACACGUGGAAGGACUUCUCACUAAUGCUAUUCCCAAAUACAAUGAGUUGUUUCCGUGAUUGGAGGACUUGAAGAUGUAUAAGUUAUCCACAGGGAUGUUGCAGAGGAAAUUUGACCAUCAUAUGGGUGAAUUAACUGAUAUCUAUGAUCUUUAUUUCUCCUGAGAGUCCAUAAAAGGUAGUGUAAAACCAGCCCAAAUAGUGGUUUACAAGUGCACUGGGUAUGUUAUGUAAGAUUUCUGCUUUCCUGAUGAGGCCCCAAAGCUGAGAGCAAUGAAUGAUACAACAAACACAGCAUCCCCACAGAAUUUUCUAAGAGGUAGACAAAAUUGGCUCUGCAACCUUUAGCCUAUGGUCCACCACUGCCCUAUGUAAGGAAAGGUAAGAAAUUCAAGAGAGAUUAAUCAGAGAGGGAAGGCAAAUGGAAUGAAAUUAGUAGAAAUAAGGAGUACUGUGGCAUUUCUCUUCCCUUUGUAUAAUGAAAGAGAGGAGAAUGUAUCUUCUCCCAAAUUCCAAGCUAAGUGAGAGAGGGCAGAAAACCACCUUCUGAGAAAGAAACUGACGAUCCGUCACAGGGAAGAGAUAUCGACCUCCUUACUUAACAUUUUUGAGCUUGAUUAGAGGAUGAUGCAUUAGAUGCCAUUAUAGGACAAAUGUUUUAUGCAGUGAGAUAAUUGUUUGGAAAUUUGACGUAUACCUCUUGGAAUCUGAGGAGCAUGAAGAUCAGUGUAUGACUCUUGCCUGAAAUCAAGGAGAAAGGAAAACCCUGUCAAUGGCACAAAUUUCCAAAGUUUGGGAUGACAAGGA